GGGGGGGGGGGGGGGGGGGCUGAGGGGGGGGGGGCGGGCGGGCAGGCGCGGAGCUUGGGCCUGUGGCGUUAGCGGCGGACGGGUGAGGGACACGUGGAUAACCUACCUAUAAGGCUGGGAUAACUUCGGGAAACCGGGGCUAAUACCGGAUAAUAUAUUGUACCGCACUGUUCAUUAGUGAAAGACUGUUUUGCUGUCACUUAUAGGUGUAUCCGCUCCGCGUUAGCUAGUUGGUAAGGUACAGGCUUACAAAGGCAACGGUGCGUCACCGACCUGUGAGGGUGAGCGGACGGACGGGAACUGAGACAAGGGACAGACUCCUACGGGAGGCAGCAGUAGGGAAUCUUCAGCAAUGGGCGAAAGCCUGAAGGAGAAACGCCGGGUGAGUGAUGAAGGUCUUCGGAUCGUAAAACUCUGUUAUUAGGGAAGAACAAAUGUGUAAGUAACUAUGCACGGCUUGACGGUACCUAAUCAGAAAGACACGGCUAACUACGUG
RNAcentral lists this ribosomal RNA (496 nucleotides) under uncultured bacterium. RNAcentral's name for it is "partial 16S ribosomal RNA". It matches the Rfam family "Bacterial small subunit ribosomal RNA", at positions 38 to 507 of the family's 1533-position model. The record is from RNAcentral.